GGGUUGUGAGGUUAAGCGACUAAGCGUACACGGUGGAUGCCCUGGCAGUCAGAGGCGAUGAAGGACGUGCUAAUCUGCGAUAAGCGUCGGUAAGGUGAUAUGAACCGUUAUAACCGGCGAUUUCCGAAUGGGGAAACCCAGUGUGUUUCGACACACUAUCAUUAACUGAAUCCAUAGGUUAAUGAGGCGAACCGGGGGAACUGAAACAUCUAAGUACCCCGAGGAAAAGAAAUCAACCGAGAUUCCCCCAGUAGCGGCGAGCGAACGGGGAGGAGCCCAGAGCCUGAAUCAGUGUGUGUGUUAGUGGAAGCGUCUGGAAAGGCGCGCGAUACAGGGUGACAGCCCCGUACACAAAAAUGCACAUGCUGUGAGCUCGAUGAGUAGGGCGGGACACGUGGUAUCCUGUCUGAAUAUGGGGGGACCAUCCUCCAAGGCUAAAUACUCCUGACUGACCGAUAGUGAACCAGUACCGUGAGGGAAAGGCGAAAAGAACCCCGGCGAGGGGAGUGAAAAAGAACCUGAAACCGUGUACGUACAAGCAGUGGGAGCACGCUUAGGCGUGUGACUGCGUACCUUUUGUAUAAUGGGUCAGCGACUUAUAUUCUGUAGCAAGGUUAACCGAAUAGGGGAGCCGAAGGGAAACCGAGUCUUAACUGGGCGUUAAGUUGCAGGGUAUAGACCCGAAACCCGGUGAUCUAGCCAUGGGCAGGUUGAAGGUUGGGUAACACUAACUGGAGGACCGAACCGACUAAUGUUGAAAAAUUAGCGGAUGACUUGUGGCUGGGGGUGAAAGGCCAAUCAAACCGGGAGAUAGCUGGUUCUCCCCGAAAGCUAUUUAGGUAGCGCCUCGUGAAUUCAUCUCCGGGGGUAGAGCACUGUUUCGGCAAGGGGGUCAUCCCGACUUACCAACCCGAUGCAAACUGCGAAUACCGGAGAAUGUUAUCACGGGAGACACACGGCGGGUGCUAACGUCCGUCGUGAAGAGGGAAACAACCCAGACCGCCAGCUAAGGUCCCAAAGUCAUGGUUAAGUGGGAAACGAUGUGGGAAGGCCCAGACAGCCAGGAUGUUGGCUUAGAAGCAGCCAUCAUUUAAAGAAAGCGUAAUAGCUCACUGGUCGAGUCGGCCUGCGCGGAAGAUGUAACGGGGCUAAACCAUGCACCGAAGCUGCGGCAGCGACGCUUAUGCGUUGUUGGGUAGGGGAGCGUUCUGUAAGCCUGUGAAGGUGUACUGUGAGGUAUGCUGGAGGUAUCAGAAGUGCGAAUGCUGACAUAAGUAACGAUAAAGCGGGUGAAAAGCCCGCUCGCCGGAAGACCAAGGGUUCCUGUCCAACGUUAAUCGGGGCAGGGUGAGUCGACCCCUAAGGCGAGGCCGAAAGGCGUAGUCGAUGGGAAACAGGUUAAUAUUCCUGUACUUGGUGUUACUGCGAAGGGGGGACGGAGAAGGCUAUGUUGGCCGGGCGACGGUUGUCCCGGUUUAAGCGUGUAGGCUGGUUUUCCAGGCAAAUCCGGAAAAUCAAGGCUGAGGCGUGAUGACGAGGCACUACGGUGCUGAAGCAACAAAUGCCCUGCUUCCAGGAAAAGCCUCUAAGCAUCAGGUAACAUCAAAUCGUACCCCAAACCGACACAGGUGGUCAGGUAGAGAAUACCAAGGCGCUUGAGAGAACUCGGGUGAAGGAACUAGGCAAAAUGGUGCCGUAACUUCGGGAGAAGGCACGCUGAUAUGUAGGUGAAGUCCCUCGCGGAUGGAGCUGAAAUCAGUCGAAGAUACCAGCUGGCUGCAACUGUUUAUUAAAAACACAGCACUGUGCAAACACGAAAGUGGACGUAUACGGUGUGACGCCUGCCCGGUGCCGGAAGGUUAAUUGAUGGGGUUAGCGCAAGCGAAGCUCUUGAUCGAAGCCCCGGUAAACGGCGGCCGUAACUAUAACGGUCCUAAGGUAGCGAAAUUCCUUGUCGGGUAAGUUCCGACCUGCACGAAUGGCGUAAUGAUGGCCAGGCUGUCUCCACCCGAGACUCAGUGAAAUUGAACUCGCUGUGAAGAUGCAGUGUACCCGCGGCAAGACGGAAAGACCCCGUGAACCUUUACUAUAGCUUGACACUGAACAUUGAGCCUUGAUGUGUAGGAUAGGUGGGAGGCUUUGAAGUGUGGACGCCAGUCUGCAUGGAGCCGACCUUGAAAUACCACCCUUUAAUGUUUGAUGUUCUAACGUGGACCCGUAAUCCGGGUUGCGGACAGUGUCUGGUGGGUAGUUUGACUGGGGCGGUCUCCUCCUAAAGAGUAACGGAGGAGCACGAAGGUUGGCUAAUCCUGGUCGGACAUCAGGAGGUUAGUGCAAUGGCAUAAGCCAGCUUGACUGCGAGCGUGACGGCGCGAGCAGGUGCGAAAGCAGGUCAUAGUGAUCCGGUGGUUCUGAAUGGAAGGGCCAUCGCUCAACGGAUAAAAGGUACUCCGGGGAUAACAGGCUGAUACCGCCCAAGAGUUCAUAUCGACGGCGGUGUUUGGCACCUCGAUGUCGGCUCAUCACAUCCUGGGGCUGAAGUAGGUCCCAAGGGUAUGGCUGUUCGCCAUUUAAAGUGGUACGCGAGCUGGGUUUAGAACGUCGUGAGACAGUUCGGUCCCUAUCUGCCGUGGGCGCUGGAGAACUGAGGGGGGCUGCUCCUAGUACGAGAGGACCGGAGUGGACGCAUCACUGGUGUUCGGGUUGUCAUGCCAAUGGCACUGCCCGGUAGCUAAAUGCGGAAGAGAUAAGUGCUGAAAGCAUCUAAGCACGAAACUUGCCCCGAGAUGAGUUCUCCCUGACUCCUUGAGAGUCCUGAAGGAACGUUGAAGACGACGACGUUGAUAGGCCGGGUGUGUAAGCGCAGCGAUGCGUUGAGCUAACCGGUACUAAUGAACCGUGAGGCUUAACCUUACAACGCCGAAGCUGUU
RNAcentral lists this ribosomal RNA (2930 nucleotides) under Escherichia coli. RNAcentral describes it as "23S ribosomal RNA". It matches the Rfam family "Bacterial large subunit ribosomal RNA". The record is from RNAcentral. Lineage: Bacteria; Pseudomonadati; Pseudomonadota; Gammaproteobacteria; Enterobacterales; Enterobacteriaceae. RNAcentral also lists the same sequence under 1 other name.